UACGUAGGGUGCGAGCGUUGUCCGGAAUUAUUGGGCGUAAAGAGCUUGUAGGCGGUUUGUCGCGUCUGCUGUGAAAAUCCGGGGCUCAACCCCGGACUUGCAGUGGGUACGGGCAGACUAGAGUGUGGUAGGGGAGACUGGAAUUCCUGGUGUAGCGGUGAAAUGCGCAGAUAUCAGGAGGAACACCGAUGGCGAAGGCUGGUCUCUGGGCCACUACUGACGCUGAGAAGCGAAAGCAUGGGGAGCGAACAGGACUAGAUA
This 261-nucleotide ribosomal RNA is filed under the name uncultured prokaryote. RNAcentral's name for it is "partial 16S ribosomal RNA". It matches the Rfam family "Bacterial small subunit ribosomal RNA", at positions 524 to 784 of the family's 1533-position model. The record is from RNAcentral.